This 253-nucleotide ribosomal RNA is filed under the name uncultured bacterium. RNAcentral's name for it is "partial 16S ribosomal RNA". It matches the Rfam family "Archaeal small subunit ribosomal RNA", at positions 474 to 727 of the family's 1478-position model. The record is from RNAcentral.
UACCAGCACCCCGAGUGGUCGGGACGAUUAUUGGGCCUAAAGCAUCCGUAGCUUGUUCUGCAAGUCCUCCGUUAAAUCCACCUGCUCAACAGAUGGGCUGCGGGGGAUACUACAGGGCUAGGAGGCGGGAGAGGCAAACGGUACUCAGUGGGUAGGGGUAAAAUCCGCUGAUCCACUGAAGACCACCAGUGGCGAAGGCGGUGUGCCAGAACGCGCUCGACGGUGAGGGAUGAAAGCUGGGGGAGCAAACCGG